This 373-nucleotide ribosomal RNA is filed under the name uncultured organism. RNAcentral's name for it is "bacterial SSU rRNA". It matches the Rfam family "Bacterial small subunit ribosomal RNA", at positions 526 to 896 of the family's 1533-position model. The record is from RNAcentral.
CGUAGGGGACAAGCGUUAUCCGGACUUACUGGGCGUAAAGCGCCCGUAGGCGGCUUAACAAGUUGGAUGUGAAAGCCCCCGGCUUAACUGGGAGAGGUCAUUCAAAACUGUUAGGCUAGAGGAUGGAAGAGGAGAGCGGAAUUCCCGGUGUAGUGGUGGAAUGCGUAGAGAUCGGGAGGAACACCAGUGGCGAAAGCGGCUCUCUGGUUCACACCUGACGCUGAGGGGCGAAAGCGUGGGGAGCGAACGGGAUUAGAUACCCCGGUAGUCCACGCUGUAAACGAUGGAUACUAGGUGUAGAGGGUCAUUAACCCCCUCUGUGCCGCAGCUAACGCGUUAAGUAUCCCGCCUGGGGAGUACGGCCGCAAGGUUA